AUGGAGACGGACACAGCGGGGAUGCCCCUGAACAGCAGGCGCUCGCCGAGCAGCUUCCCGAUCUUGGCCGCCGCAGCCACGUCCCGCGUCGACUCCAUGCUUGGCCUCAGGAUCUUCUCCUGA
This 123-nucleotide ribosomal RNA is filed under the name Triticum aestivum (bread wheat). RNAcentral's name for it is "partial small subunit ribosomal RNA". The record is from RNAcentral. Lineage: Eukaryota; Viridiplantae; Streptophyta; Magnoliopsida; Poales; Poaceae.